Molecule: long non-coding RNA, 607 nt
Filed under: Notechis scutatus (mainland tiger snake)
Lineage: Eukaryota; Metazoa; Chordata; Lepidosauria; Squamata; Elapidae
Description: lncRNA (ENSNSUG00000003287.1)
Source: RNAcentral
AUUUAACUUUUUUAAUGCAUUUUUAACCUGUUGCAGAUAUUGAUGAUGUCAGGAAGUUUUUCCCAGGUUACCUGGAAGCUACUGUUGACUGGUGCAGACUAUAUAAAGUUCCAGAUGGGAAGCCAGAAAAUAAGUUUGCUUUUAAUGACACAUUUAAAGACAAGGCAUUUGCUUUGGAAAUAAUCAAGUCCACCCAUGAAUCCUGGAAAGCUUUGGUUCACAAAAAGGCUGAUGGAGGAGCCAUAAAAUGCACCAACCUUCUGGUGGGCACUAGCCCUUAUUGCUGCAACGAAGAAGACAUCCAAUCUAUUGUGCAAAAUGCUCCAGCACUUGUGGAAGAGCCUUCUAUUUCCAGAGAAGUUGAUAGAUGGCAUUUUCUUGGAUAGUGAAGACUACUGUUCUCUGACAUCAUGUUACAAGAUUCUCUCUCAACUUCGUCUCUCUUUCCUGGGUCUCCACCCCAUCUUACAAUAUACCAUUUGGCACAUGUGCACACACACUUUGCUGAAGAUAUGGAAAUGAAGCCACUGAUGACUGGAAUCUAUUGCACUGUAGAUUUUUCUGUUCUGUAAAUAAAAUGGAUUUUUACAAUUUUCCUCUGAAUUGU